AUUGAACGCUGGCGGCAGGCCUAACACAUGCAAGUCGAGCGGAUGAAAGGGGCUUGCUCCUGGAUUCAGCGGCGGACGGGUGAGUAAUACGCAGGAAUCUACCUAGUAGUGGGGGAUAACGUUUCGAAAGGGGCGCUAAUACCGCAUACGUUCUGAGGAAGAAAGCAGGGGAUCGCAAGGCCUUGCGCUAUUAGAUGAGCUUGCGUCCGAUUAGCUAGUUGGUGGGGUAAAGGCCUACCAAGGCGACGAUCGGUAACUGGUCUGAGAGGAUGAUCAGUCACACUGGAACUGAGACACGGUCCAGACUCCUACGGGAGGCAGCAGUGGGGAAUAUUGGACAAUGGGGGCGAACCCUGAUCCAGCCAUGCCGCGUGUGUGAAGAAGGACCUCGG
RNAcentral lists this ribosomal RNA (392 nucleotides) under uncultured bacterium. RNAcentral describes it as "bacterial SSU rRNA". It matches the Rfam family "Bacterial small subunit ribosomal RNA", at positions 30 to 421 of the family's 1533-position model. The record is from RNAcentral.